AGAUACCCUAUUAUUAAAAGCUUAUAAAUAAAUUUAAAAAAGUACUACAAUGAAAUUUGUAUAAACUUAAAAUAAUAUGGCGGUAAUUAUAAACUUUAGGGGAACUUACCUAAUAAAGGAUAGCCAUCCAGGUAAACUACCUUUUCUAAUAACCUGUAUGCCGUCGUCAUCAGAAACCUUUACUAAAAAGAUUUCAAAUUAUUAUAAUUAAAUAUAAUUAUGACAGAUCAAGGUGCAGUUUAUGAAAAGGGUAAGGCGAGUUACAAUUUUAAUUAUUAACGGAAGAUAUUAUUUAAAAAAUACUUGAAGCUGGACUUAAAAGUAAAUUAUAUUAUAUAUAAUAUUUGAAUUAUUUAUAGUUGUGUACAUAUCGC
This 374-nucleotide ribosomal RNA is filed under the name Oreohelix sp. D KFW-2006. RNAcentral describes it as "partial 12S ribosomal RNA". Lineage: Eukaryota; Metazoa; Mollusca; Gastropoda; Stylommatophora; Oreohelicidae. The record is from RNAcentral.